GACGAACGCUGGCGGCGUGCCUAAUACAUGCAAGUUGAGCGAUGAAGCUUGGUGCUUGCACCAAUUUGAAGAGCAGCGAACGGGUGAGUAACGCGUGGGGAAUCUGCCUUUGAGCGGGGGACAACAUUUGGAAACGAAUGCUAAUACCGCAUAACAACUUUAAACAUAAGUUUUAAGUUUGAAAGAUGCAAUUGCAUCACUCAAAGAUGAUCCCGCGUUGUAUUAGCUAGUUGGUGAGGUAAAGGCUCACCAAGGCGAUGAUACAUAGCCGACCUGAGAGGGUGAUCGGCCACAUUGGGACUGAGACACGGCCCAAACUCUACGGGAGGCAGCAGUAGGGAAUCUUCGGCAAUGGACGAAAGUCCGACCGAGCAACGCCGCGUGAGUGAAGAAGGUUUUCGGAUCGUAAAACUCUGUUGGUAGAGAAGAACGUUGGUGAGAGUGGAAAGCUCAUCAAGUGACGGUAACUACCCAGAAAGGGACGGCUAACUACGUG
This 496-nucleotide ribosomal RNA is filed under the name uncultured bacterium. Its description in RNAcentral is "partial 16S ribosomal RNA". It matches the Rfam family "Bacterial small subunit ribosomal RNA", at positions 28 to 507 of the family's 1533-position model. The record is from RNAcentral.